UGGGGAAUUUUGGACAAUGGGCGCAAGCCUGAUCCAGCCAUGCCGCGUGCAGGAUGAAGGCCUUCGGGUUGUAAACUGCUUUUGUACGGAACGAAAAGACUCUGGUUAAUACCUGGGGUCCAUGACGGUACCGUAAGAAUAAGCACCGGCUAACUACGUGCCAGCAGCCGCGGUAAUACGUAGGGUGCGAGCGUUAAUCGGAAUUACUGGGCGUAAAGCGUGCGCAGGCGGUGAUGUAAGACAGAAGUGAAAUCCCCGGGCUCAACCUGGGAACUGCAUUAGUGACUGCAUCGCUGGAGUGCGGCAGAGGGGGAUGGAAUUCCGCGUGUAGCAGUGAAAUGCGUAGAUAUGCGGAGGAACACCGAUGGCGAAGGCAAUCCCCUGGGCCUGCACUGACGCUCAUGCACGAAAGCGUGGGGAGCAAACA
This 427-nucleotide ribosomal RNA is filed under the name uncultured prokaryote. RNAcentral describes it as "bacterial SSU rRNA". It matches the Rfam family "Bacterial small subunit ribosomal RNA", at positions 355 to 774 of the family's 1533-position model. The record is from RNAcentral.